GUGCUCUGAUGCUUAUUGCACCACAUGUGUUUUUCUUUGAAACAAACUUGCUUUGGCGGUGGGCCCAGCCUGCCGCCAGAGGUCUAAACUUACAACCAAUUUUUUAUCAACUUGUCACACCAGAUUAUUACUAAUAGUCAAAACUUUCAACAACGGAUCUCUUGGUUCUCGCAUCGAUGAAGAACGCAGCGAAAUGCGAUACGUAAUAUGAAUUGCAGAUAUUCGUGAAUCAUCGAAUCUUUGAACGCACAUUGCGCCCUCUGGUAUUCCGGAGGGCAUGCCUGUUUGAGCGUCGUUUCUCCCUCAAACCGCUGGGUUUGGUGUUGAGCAAUACGACUUGGGUUUGCUUGAAAGACGGUAGUGGUAAGGCGGGAUCGCUUUGACAAUGGCUUAGGUCUAACCAAAAACAUUGCUUGCGGCGGUAACGUCCACCACGUAUAUCUUCAAACUUUGACCUCAAAUCAGGUAGGACUACCCGCUGAACUUAAGCAUAUCAAAAGCGGGG
This 505-nucleotide ribosomal RNA is filed under the name Candida albicans. Its description in RNAcentral is "eukaryotic LSU rRNA". The stretch from base 142 to 295 matches the Rfam family "5.8S ribosomal RNA". The record is from RNAcentral. Lineage: Eukaryota; Fungi; Ascomycota; Pichiomycetes; Serinales; Debaryomycetaceae.